UGAACAAGGAUGCUACCGGUUUAGGGAGU
This 29-nucleotide non-coding RNA is filed under the name Mus musculus (house mouse). The record is from RNAcentral. Lineage: Eukaryota; Metazoa; Chordata; Mammalia; Rodentia; Muridae.